UUUGAUGGGUCUCGGGGGUCUACUGAGAAGCUCUCAAGUUCCUCUACUGGAGAUGCCUGAGGCUCGUGUUCCAUGAUGCGGGGGUCAAUUUCAACGAUGACCAGCGCCUCUGCAUUAGGUGGUGCAUCGAUCAUAUCAACAUCUUCUUGUUCGGUGGGAGCAUCACCUAGGACGUCAGCCAUGACCACGUCAGCUACGACUACA
Molecule: long non-coding RNA, 204 nt
Filed under: Olea europaea (common olive)
Lineage: Eukaryota; Viridiplantae; Streptophyta; Magnoliopsida; Lamiales; Oleaceae
Description: long non-coding RNA (OEUR_LNC002253)
Source: RNAcentral